AGCGAACGCUGGCGGCGUGCCUAACACAUGCAAGUCGAACGUGAAAGCGAUCAUUCCCAAGUAAAGUCGCGUACGGGUGAGUAACAUGUAGCUAAUCUACCCUACCCUCUGCAAUAACCUGCCGACAGGCUGGCUAAUACUGUAUAGAUCGACGGCAUCCGCAAUUUGGUUUUUCUUGAAAGGGAUCCUCUAAAAAGGCCUUCGUUCUGGCUUAUCCCUGCGUUCGAUCAGCUAGUUGGUGAGGUAAAAUCUUACCAAGGCAAUGACGGGUAGCUGGUAUGAGAGGACGGUCAGCCACACUGGAACUGAAACACGGUACAGACGGCUACGGGAGGGAGCAGGAGGGAAUCGUGCGGAAGGGACGAGAGACAGACGAAGAAACGCGGCGGGAGGGAAGAAGGCCGUCGGGUUGGAGAGGUCUGUCGAGGGGGACGAAAAUGCUUGGAGUUCACAGCAACAGGAAGUGACGGUAACACGAAAGGAAGCACCGGCUAACUCCGUG
RNAcentral lists this ribosomal RNA (502 nucleotides) under uncultured bacterium. RNAcentral's name for it is "partial 16S ribosomal RNA". It matches the Rfam family "Bacterial small subunit ribosomal RNA", at positions 29 to 507 of the family's 1533-position model. The record is from RNAcentral.